Molecule: ribosomal RNA, 531 nt
Filed under: uncultured bacterium
Lineage: Bacteria
Description: bacterial SSU rRNA
Rfam family: Bacterial small subunit ribosomal RNA
Source: RNAcentral
CCUAAUACCGCAUAACGUCGCAAGACCAAAGAGGGGGACCUUCGGGCCUCUUGCCAUCGGAUGUGCCCAGAUGGGAUUAGCUAGUGGGUGGGGUAACGGCUCACCUAGGCGACGAUCCCUAGCUGGUCUGAGAGGAUGACCAGCCACACUGGAACUGAGACACGGUCCAGACUCCUACGGGAGGCAGCAGUGGGGAAUAUUGCACAAUGGGCGCAAGCCUGAUGCAGCCAUGCCGCGUGUAUGAAGAAGGCCUUCGGGUUGUAAAGUACUUUCAGCGGGGAGGAAGGGAGUAAAGUUAAUACCUUUGCUCAUUGACGUUACCCGCAGAAGAAGCACCGGCUAACUCCGUGCCAGCAGCCGCGGUAAUACGAAGGGUGCAAGCGUUAAUCGGAAUUACUGGGCGUAAAGCGCACGCAGGCGGUUUGUUAAGUCAGAUGUGAAAUCCCCGGGCUCAACCUGGGAACUGCAUCUGAUACUGGCAAGCUUGAGUCUCGUAGAGGGGGGUAGAAUUCCAGGUGUAGCGGUGAAAUG